This 1910-nucleotide ribosomal RNA is filed under the name Salmonella enterica. RNAcentral describes it as "partial 23S ribosomal RNA". It matches the Rfam family "Bacterial large subunit ribosomal RNA", at positions 911 to 2802 of the family's 2925-position model. Lineage: Bacteria; Pseudomonadati; Pseudomonadota; Gammaproteobacteria; Enterobacterales; Enterobacteriaceae. The record is from RNAcentral. RNAcentral also lists the same sequence under 1 other name.
UGUUUCGGCUAGGGGGCCAUCCCGGCUUACCAACCCGAUGCAAACUGCGAAUACCGGAGAAUGUUAUCACGGGAGACACACGGCGGGUGCUAACGUCCGUCGUGAAGAGGGAAACAACCCAGACCGCCAGCUAAGGUCCCAAAGUCAUGGUUAAGUGGGAAACGAUGUGGGAAGGCCCAGACAGCCAGGAUGUUGGCUUAGAAGCAGCCAUCAUUUAAAGAAAGCGUAAUAGCUCACUGGUCGAGUCGGCCUGCGCGGAAGAUGUAACGGGGCUAAACCAUGCACCGAAGCUGCGGCAGCGACACUGUGUGUUGUUGGGUAGGGGAGCGUUCUGUAAGCCUGUGAAGGUGUGUCGUGAGGCAUGCUGGAGGUAUCAGAAGUGCGAAUGCUGACAUAAGUAACGAUAAAGCGGGUGAAAAGCCCGCUCGCCGGAAGACCAAGGGUUCCUGUCCAACGUUAAUCGGGGCAGGGUGAGUCGACCCCUAAGGCGAGGCCGAAAGGCGUAGUCGAUGGGAAACGGGUUAAUAUUCCCGUACUUGGUGUUACUGCGAAGGGGGGACGGAGAAGGCUAUGUUGGCCGGGCGACGGUUGUCCCGGUUUAAGCGUGUAGGUGUGUGUUCCAGGUAAAUCCGGUUCACUUUAACACUGAGGCGUGACGACGAGGCACUACGGUGCUGAAGCAACAAAUGCCCUGCUUCCAGGAAAAGCCUCUAAGCAUCAGGUAACAUCAAAUCGUACCCCAAACCGACACAGGUGGUCAGGUAGAGAAUACCAAGGCGCUUGAGAGAACUCGGGUGAAGGAACUAGGCAAAAUGGUGCCGUAACUUCGGGAGAAGGCACGCUGACACGUAGGUGAAGUGAUUUACUCAUGGAGCUGAAGUCAGUCGAAGAUACCAGCUGGCUGCAACUGUUUAUUAAAAACACAGCACUGUGCAAACACGAAAGUGGACGUAUACGGUGUGACGCCUGCCCGGUGCCGGAAGGUUAAUUGAUGGGGUCAGCGCAAGCGAAGCUCCUGAUCGAAGCCCCGGUAAACGGCGGCCGUAACUAUAACGGUCCUAAGGUAGCGAAAUUCCUUGUCGGGUAAGUUCCGACCUGCACGAAUGGCGUAAUGAUGGCCAGGCUGUCUCCACCCGAGACUCAGUGAAAUUGAACUCGCUGUGAAGAUGCAGUGUACCCGCGGCAAGACGGAAAGACCCCGUGAACCUUUACUAUAGCUUGACACUGAACAUUGAGCCUUGAUGUGUAGGAUAGGUGGGAGGCUUUGAAGUGUGGACGCCAGUCUGCAUGGAGCCGACCUUGAAAUACCACCCUUUAAUGUUUGAUGUUCUAACGUGGACCCGUUACCCGGGUUGCGGACAGUGUCUGGUGGGUAGUUUGACUGGGGCGGUCUCCUCCUAAAGAGUAACGGAGGAGCACGAAGGUUGGCUAAUCCUGGUCGGACAUCAGGAGGUUAGUGCAAUGGCAUAAGCCAGCUUGACUGCGAGCGUGACGGCGCGAGCAGGUGCGAAAGCAGGUCAUAGUGAUCCGGUGGUUCUGAAUGGAAGGGCCAUCGCUCAACGGAUAAAAGGUACUCCGGGGAUAACAGGCUGAUACCGCCCAAGAGUUCAUAUCGACGGCGGUGUUUGGCACCUCGAUGUCGGCUCAUCACAUCCUGGGGCUGAAGUAGGUCCCAAGGGUAUGGCUGUUCGCCAUUUAAAGUGGUACGCGAGCUGGGUUUAGAACGUCGUGAGACAGUUCGGUCCCUAUCUGCCGUGGGCGCUGGAGAACUGAGGGGGGCUGCUCCUAGUACGAGAGGACCGGAGUGGACGCAUCACUGGUGUUCGGGUUGUCAUGCCAAUGGCACUGCCCGGUAGCUAAAUGCGGAAGAGAUAAGUGCUGAAAGCAUCUAAGCACGAAACUUGCCCCGA